This 24-nucleotide non-coding RNA is filed under the name Cricetulus griseus (Chinese hamster). The record is from RNAcentral. Lineage: Eukaryota; Metazoa; Chordata; Mammalia; Rodentia; Cricetidae.
UAUGGCAGGACUAAAUAAACUCUU